GCCAGACUCCUACGGGAGGCAGCAGUGGGGAAUAUUGCACAAUGGGGGAAACCCUGAUGCAGCGACGCCGCGUGAGUGAAGAAGUAUUUCGGUAUGUAAAGCUCUAUCAGCAGGGAAGAAAUAGCGACCUUUGGGUCGCCAGACGGUACCUGAUUAAGAAGCCACGGCUAACUACGUGCCAGCAGCCGCGGUAAUACGUAGGUGGCGAGCGUUGUCCGGAUUUACUGGGUGUAAAGGGCGCGUAGGCGGGAAUGCAAGUCAGAUGUGAAAUCCAUGGGCUUAACCCAUGAACUGCAUUUGAAACUGUAUUUCUUGAGUGUCGGAGAGGUAGACGGAAUUCCUAGUGUAGCGGUGAAAUGCGUAGAUAUUAGGAGGAACACCAGUGGCGAAGGCGGUCUACUGGACGAUAACUGACGCUGAGGCGCGAAAGCGUGGGGAGCAAACAGGAUUAGAUACCCCGGUA
Molecule: ribosomal RNA, 463 nt
Filed under: uncultured bacterium
Lineage: Bacteria
Description: bacterial SSU rRNA
Rfam family: Bacterial small subunit ribosomal RNA
Source: RNAcentral